GCAGUAGCCGCGGGAAUACAGAGGGUGCGAGCGUUAAUCGGAUUUACUGGGCGUAAAGCGUGCGUAGGCGGCUAAUUGAGUCGGAUGUGAAAUCCCCGAGCUUAACUUGGGAAUUGCAUUCGAUACUGGUUAGCUAGAGUGUGGGAGAGGAUGGUAGAAUUCCAGGUGUAGCGGUGAAAUGCGUAGAGAUCUGGAGGAAUACCGAUGGCGAAGGCAGCCAUCUGGCCUAACACUGACGCUGAGGUACGAAAGCAUGGGGAGCAAACAGGAUUAGAUACCCGCGUAGUCCCUGUCUCUUAUAC
RNAcentral lists this ribosomal RNA (302 nucleotides) under uncultured bacterium. Its description in RNAcentral is "partial 16S ribosomal RNA". It matches the Rfam family "Bacterial small subunit ribosomal RNA", at positions 508 to 807 of the family's 1533-position model. The record is from RNAcentral.